RNAcentral lists this ribosomal RNA (329 nucleotides) under uncultured eukaryote. RNAcentral describes it as "partial 18S ribosomal RNA". It matches the Rfam family "Eukaryotic small subunit ribosomal RNA", at positions 1470 to 1796 of the family's 1831-position model. The record is from RNAcentral.
CCCUUAGAUGUUCUGGGCCGCACGCGCGCUACACUGAUGCAUUCAACGAGUCUAAAACCUGCUCUGAUAGGGGUGGGUAAUCUUUUGAAUGUGCAUCGUGAUUGGGAUAGAUGAUUGCAAUUUUUCAUCUUCAACGAGGAAUGCCUAGUAAACGCAAGUCAUCAGCUUGCAUUGAUUACGUCCCUGCCCUUUGUACACACCGCCCGUCGCUCCUACCGAUUGAAUGAUCCGAUGAAUAUCAUGGAUUGAGGAUGCAAGCAGGUUCGCCUGUCUUCAUCUUCGAGAAGUGAAGUAAAUCCUAUCAUUUAGAGGAAGGAGAAGUCGUAACA